This 65-nucleotide transfer RNA is filed under the name Aesa media. Its description in RNAcentral is "tRNA-Pro". The record is from RNAcentral. Lineage: Eukaryota; Metazoa; Arthropoda; Insecta; Coleoptera; Cerambycidae.
CAAGGAGUAGUUUAAUUUAAAAUAUUAAUUUUGGAGAUUAAAGACGGGGUUGUUCCUUUCCUUGA